AUGGGCCGGGCCCAGAGCGCCAGGGACCCCGUUGUGCUCUCUGCCGGUUACGCCAGGGGCCGAAGCCCUGUCCUCCCUGCUUGGGGGCAGGUUUCUAGGGGGCAAAUAGCAACAGGAGGCAGAGCCCAGGGUGUGGGUCCGCCAGGAACCAAGAGACCCGGGGGCCUGAUGCCCAUGCUGGAGUUUGUGGGCCACAGGAAUGUCAAGAGGGUCUGGGACACUGCACCUGAUGGGCCCGAAACAGCUGCUCCUCCCCCGGAGAAUCUCCCCCAGGGCAGCCCAGCCAGGGCCCCUCCACAGCAUCACAAGGAUGGCUCCUCCUUCCAGUACCACUACCCUGUCCCCUCUACUCAGCUUUGCACUGAAGUCAGGGCCACCAGGAUCACUAAAGAGCUUCUGGCCUGGGCCUGUCAGGUCCUGACGGAGCAGGAGCCAGCUGAGGCCUAACCUGAUGGGUGUGCACUCCCAAAUUGGGCUGGAGACAGGGGUGAAGACCUGCUCUGUCUCGUUCCUAUUUUCUCCCCUCCCACCAGUCAGGGGGCUCAUCCCAGGGCAGUCAGUUUAGUUUUUUAAUAAAAUAAUCUC
This 585-nucleotide long non-coding RNA is filed under the name Ornithorhynchus anatinus (platypus). RNAcentral describes it as "lncRNA (ENSOANG00000040825.1)". The record is from RNAcentral. Lineage: Eukaryota; Metazoa; Chordata; Mammalia; Monotremata; Ornithorhynchidae.